CUCUGGGGACAGCCUCCCGCCCAGGAUGUGAGGCAGGCAGCAGCUUGCUGGCCCAGCCUGGCCCUGAGGUGGGGGGUCCUGGCUGCGACCUGGGAGAGAUGCCCCCUUCCCUGGCAUGCUGAGAGCAGCCGGCUCAUUCCUGCAGCCCAGAGUCCUUCUUGAGGGAGGAGGCCAUGGUGUCCACCCCAUCAACCUCCGGACGGCCAGACAGGUUUGGCCACAGACGGGAACGGCAUCUUCUCUAUCGAGGCAGGGUUGUAUUUUGAAGGAGGUCUCUGGACAGUUGGCAGGACAGGCUGCUGAGAACCCGAGGUCACCGCGGCCCCCGGCCCUGGAAGAUGGAGUAGCCUCGGACUGUGUGACUCUCGGGCCUCAGAGAGGCAGCUCUGGGCUGGGCAGAGGUGAUGCUUGCUGCUUUUCCAGCCGCCCCCGGGUACAAUUCCUCCUGUAAUUUCACUUCCUGAGCCUCUUGGCGCACUUCCUAGUUGUGUAAUAUUGAGCAAGUUCUUGAAAUCCUCUAAGACUCAGUUUUCUCAUCGCUAAAAUGGGAACCGUAGCUGGCCCUGGUGACAUGUGCGGGAGUCCCAGCCCUUGGGAAGCUGACACUCGCUUUAGCCCAGAAGUUCGAGACCAGCCUGGGCAGCACAGUGGCUCAAAACAAAAGAUUAAAAGGGCAGAGAUGUAGCUCAGUAGCAGAGCACUUGACCUUGGUUCUAACCCUUGUACUACAAAACUAACUAACUAAAUAAAUUGGGACAAU
Fukomys damarensis (Damara mole-rat) is the source of this 760-nucleotide long non-coding RNA. RefSeq lists it as uncharacterized. The record is from RefSeq and is a predicted model, not a curated record. NCBI's taxonomy places the organism in Eukaryota, Metazoa, Chordata, Mammalia, Rodentia, Bathyergidae. The transcript is spliced from 3 exons.